Molecule: ribosomal RNA, 253 nt
Filed under: uncultured bacterium
Lineage: Bacteria
Description: partial 16S ribosomal RNA
Rfam family: Bacterial small subunit ribosomal RNA
Source: RNAcentral
UACAGAGGUCUCAAGCGUUGUUCGGAUUCAUUGGGCGUAAAGGGUGCGUAGGCGGCGCGGUAAGUCGGGUGUGAAAUCUCGGAGCUUAACUCCGAAACUGCAUUCGAUACUGCCGUGCUUGAGGACUGGAGAGGAGACUGGAAUUUACGGUGUAGCGGUGAAAUGCGUAGAGAUCGGGAGGAAGGCCGGUGGCGAAGGCGGCGCUCUGGAACAUUUCUGACGCUGAGGCUCGAAAGCGUGGGGAGCAAACAGG